RNAcentral lists this unclassified non-coding RNA (21 nucleotides) under Mus musculus (house mouse). Its description in RNAcentral is "oocyte_clustered_small_RNA13370". Lineage: Eukaryota; Metazoa; Chordata; Mammalia; Rodentia; Muridae. The record is from RNAcentral.
CAGCCGCCGCCCGAACCCCCG